UGGGGAAUAUUGCACAAUGGGCGAAAGCCUGAUGCAGCGACGCCGCGUGAGGGAUGGAGGCCUUCGGGUUGUAAACCUCUUUCAGUAAGGGUGAAGGCUCUCUUUUGUGGAGGGUUGACAGUACUUGCAGAAGAAGCGCCGGCUAACUACGUGCCAGCAGCCGCGGUAAUACGUAGGGCGCGAGCGUUGUCCGGAAUUAUUGGGCGUAAAGGGCUUGUAGGUGGCGUGUCGCGUCUGCUGUGAAAUUCCAGGGCUUAACUUUGGGAUUGCAGUGGGUACGGGCAUGCUAGAGUGCAGUAGGGGAGAUUGGAAUUCCUGGUGUAGCGGUGAAUUGCGCAGAUAUCAGGAGGAACACCGGUGGCGAAGGCGGGUCUCUGGGCUGUUACUGACGCUGAGGAGCGAAAGCGUGGGGAGCGAACAGG
Molecule: ribosomal RNA, 422 nt
Filed under: Verrucomicrobiota bacterium
Lineage: Bacteria; Pseudomonadati; Verrucomicrobiota
Description: Verrucomicrobia bacterium partial 16S ribosomal RNA
Rfam family: Bacterial small subunit ribosomal RNA
Source: RNAcentral